GACGAACGCUGGCGGCGUGCUUAACACAUGCAAGUCGAACGGAAAGGCCCUGCUUUUGUGGGGUGCUCGAGUGGCGAACGGGUGAAUAACACGUGAGUAACCUGCCCUUGACUUUGGGAUAACUUCAGGAAACUGGGGCUAAUACCGGAUAGGAGCUCCUGCUGCAUGGUGGGGGUUGGAAAGUUUCGGCGGUUGGGGAUGGACUCGCGGCUUAUCAGCUUGUUGGUGGGGUAGUGGCUUACCAAGGCUUUGACGGGUAGCCGGCCUGAGAGGGUGACCGGCCACAUUGGGACUGAGAUACGGCCCAGACUCCUACGGGAGGCAGCAGUGGGGAAUAUUGCACAAUGGGCGGAAGCCUGAUGCAGCAACGCCGCGUGCGGGAUGUCGGCCUUCGGGUUGUAAACCGCUUUCGCCUGUGACGAAGCGUGAGUGACGGUAAUGGGUAAAGAAGCACCGGCUAACUACGUG
RNAcentral lists this ribosomal RNA (468 nucleotides) under uncultured bacterium. RNAcentral's name for it is "partial 16S ribosomal RNA". It matches the Rfam family "Bacterial small subunit ribosomal RNA", at positions 28 to 507 of the family's 1533-position model. The record is from RNAcentral.